GGAACAAGCGAUGAACACUGGAAGAAGGACUAUAAAAGAAGAUGUAAACAGGGGAAGUUACAAUGGUUUUCGAUUCUUACAAACACUUGUCUGUAACUGGAAAUUACAUUGUCCCGUCAUUAUGGCGAAACUGCCGACCUUUAAAUAAACAGAUACAGCCAGGUUGGUCACAGAGAACGCACGGAAUAGGGCAAGAACUUUGUGUUGUAAAUGCAAGAUCAAUCGAAGCAAUAUCGUAUUCAUACCAUGUGGUCAUUUAGUCGUUUGCAACCAGUGUAUUUCCAACACAACAGUGUGUCCAGUGUACGGGAAAAAGGUCGAUGUAGCUCACCGUGUUAGCGAUUAAUCCAUUUCAGUGCUAAUGCUUAGUGCCAGGUUGGAUGAUAAAGUGUUAACCGACCAAUCCGACAGUUGUUUCCCAUUCUAUAUGCAGAGCAUAUAUCAUAUUCCGGCACAAAAGUGAAAUAUUAAGUAAAGUGAAAACUCGAUGAGUUGAUUUCAUUGACAAGCAAUAUCUGCCAAUAUCAUAGUAGUGAAAAUGAUCAUAAUAAUGAAAGUGCUCUUACUUUAAUACAAUACUUACAAAAAUGUGUAAAAUGAUCACUGUUAUUGGGCAUAAAAUCAAAUAAUUGUGUUUUAUCUAUACCCUUAGUUGUUUCGAAAUGAAAAUUGUUUAUAGUUCGCCAAGUGUCGGCAUAUAAAGUUUAUAUUUUAGAAAAAAUUGCAUUAAGUCUCGUGUUCAGUCUAAGGGAGGUAAUUUCCAAAAUGUUUUUUAUUUAUACCCUUAGUUGUUUUAAAAUGAAACUUGUUUAUACUGCUCUUAGUGUCGGCAUAUGAAGUUAAUAUUGUAUAAAAAUAUGUUUUAAGUCUCGUGUUCAGUCUAAGGGAUAUAAUUUCCAAAAUGUUCAAUUCAUUUAAAUUCAGGAACAAUGGCAGAUUUUGAUAUUGUUUCCAAUUGGAGUAAACUUUUAAUUCUUUUUUUUUUGUGGUAAAGAAAUGUUUUCUGAAAGGGUCAUAUAUAUGACUAAUUUAUCGUAACAUAGUAAUUUGUCCUAACAUAGUCAAUGUUUAGAUAUUUAGAUAUAUGAUGAUAUUCAAUGCAUCUUUAAUUUUAGGAUCUGUUCUGUGAUAUACUUAUAUCCUACAAACUGAUGCAUGUGACCAAGCGAUUGCUUUUUCAUUUUGUUAUACAUACACAUAGAUAUAAGGUUUUCUACUUUCUAUCUGUUUAACCUGGUACUAUUUUUAAAUAAAACAAUAUAUCUAAUUGGGGUCUUUAUCAACGAAAGUAAGACAUAGGCAUUAAAUUGUAUUCUCGAAAAGUAUUGGUACUUACAUAUAGUCUUAUGCUUAAAAUCAUUAGUACAUUGUAUUUAAAUUCUCCUGCAACAAUAACGCAUUAAAAUGUUGAUUUUAGGGUAAGUGUGAGUUGACUGGUCAUGAACCAGUUUAAACGCCCAAGUUACCUCAUUUUCCAGGUAACCGACCGUUUCAAGGCGGUGUCUCUAACUUCAACCUAUGAUUUGUUAAGAUCUGACUGCAUUGUUUAAUUUAUUGAUUUUAGGUUGUGGAUACAUAGCAUUAUAUCAUGUCAAUAAAAUAGAUGUAGUACUCGGGUAUUUUUCGUUCGCUGUCUGAAGAUCGGCUUAUGUAAGCUUGUCGUGUUUAAUCCAUUUUAUACAAUGUCCUAUGCAUUUAUUGCAAAAGCCCUUUAAAACGACAUUGCGCAAUUUUGCAAGAAUAAUAGAUGUUCAUACUUUACAUGAGAUUCAACUGAACAAGGCAAAUAGACAUGUGUGCAUGUUUUUCUUCUGUACUUUCAUAUUAUAUCUAUAGGGACUUUAGUAUAAGAUAUGAACGCUUUACAAAGAGAGGUUGUUUUGGGUUGUGUAAAACUAUUUUCAAAAAAGAAAAUGAAUAUCUGUAAUUUGUAAAUUUCAUACAAUUUUAAAGUUGGUAAUAGUUAAAAGAAAUUGGUAUUUUUUUAGUUAAACUUACUUAAUGAAUAAUUUUCAAACAUGUUCAGUUAUUUUGGAGUAAUUAUUAAAUGGAUGUUCAAAAACUAAAGACAACAGGAGGAUGGCGAAAUCGUUUCAAUGCGUGCAAAUAUACAUAAUUAAUGAAACGCUUUUGUAUAUUUACUGUAGUUUUCCCCGAGUUGUACUAUUGAACUUGUAUCAUAAUGUUUGUAAAUAGAUGAAAAUGUUGACAUUUGAAAUUUGUCUUUUUUCGUUGUAUUUUUAACUUAGUAUGUUUAUGUCUCAGUGUCUUGGUAACUUGAGUCAGAAUUCAAGCCUGGAAAUCACACUAAUUUGAUAUAAGACUGUUGCAAAUGUAGUUCUCUUUUACAUCUACGAUUAAGAAUAGGAUAAGCAGCAUUUAGUAUGAUUACCGAUAUGCAAUAUGUUCAAUGUACUGAAGUGUAGAUAAUGCUUUGAAACCAAGACUCAAGAUAUGUAUACCAUUUUGGUCAUUGUUGUAUGUAAAUAUAUCCUUAGCAUGUUUAGUAUGAGUGGUAUUGCUUAUAGUGUAUUUUGUUUUAUUCUUAUUAUGAGACUGUUUGAAGGGGACAUCUACAGAUAAGAAGUAAUCAAUCAAGACAAACUCUCAGUAAUAUGUAGAUCUUAAUCAAUUUUGAUUUAUGAUUUUAUAUUUUAGGCACUGCUAUCUAUUUGGAAGAUUGUUUUUGUUUCGUGAUUUGCAUCUGAAGUAAUGCCACUUUCAGAAUAGAUUAUAAGGACUUUUUUCAGUUUAUGUACAAUAUAGAAGUAUUUCUUAUAUAAAAAGUCAGGUUAUUUUGGUUCCAUAUUACUAUAAAGUCUAAUUCAUUCACCUUUUACUAGCAAAUAUUAAUUAAUUUAUACAGAAGUAAAACUGCAUCUAACUCGUUUUCAAACGAACAACUAGAACAGAUAAUAUUAAAUAGCGCCUAUCGAACUGAAUCAGUUUUUUAUAAUAUUGAUUUCUUUUAUAUUGGGCUUUGUUGAAUGUUUAUUUUUUUAUGACAAGAAUAUAUGAAACUUUAGCAAUUAAUUGAUUUAAGUAAAUUGCAAAUGCAUAUAGACAUUUAACUUUACAUAUCUCACAAGAACAUUAUUAUCCAUUAUUAUCCAUCAAAAUCUAUAUUUAACUUUUAACCUGCUGGCGGCAAGUGAUUUUGCCUUUGCGGCCGAGCAGACCAGGUGCAGGCUGAUCAUGGUCUGCACUGUUUGCUAUUCAGCCAGUUAAUUUUCAGGGAACACACCUAUGAAUCAUAAGUGGAACUGCCCAGAUUGAAUGAUGGAAUGGACCUGUCCAUAUUAGAAAUUUAGCAGAGUAAAUGUUAAUAUAAACGUUAAAUGUUUUUGGAAUGACAUCUUACUCAAAAUAGUUGCUUGAGUUUCAUUUAUAUGUUCGCAUUCAUUGUAUUAAACAUCAUUUUAUAAAAUAAAGAUAAACUGUACAAAUUCUGAAAUUUAUUUUGAUUGCAAUGUUAAUAGGAACAUAAAUCAAAUAAAGUUUAUACCAACGAAUGCACUUGAAAGACGGCAUUCACUAGCGUACAUGAAUGAAAUACAAAAGGUUGUCUAAUUGCCAUUUUCAGAGGGAUCUAUGAGUGAUAUCCUCUUAAUAAUUCGAUAUAGAACUCAUUCAGUUAAAGAAGUAAGUAAUAUGAAUUGUACAGCAUCUAAAAGUCUAAUAUUUCGGCCACGUCCAUUUAUUAGUAUUUAUAUAUUAGAUUGUUCGGACUGUUUAAAAAAGAUGAAAAAAUUACCUUUAAAAUUAAUGGUUGCCUGUUUCAGUCAUUCUUCUCGUGUUUGCCAUCAUUUUUCUUAGUUGAUAACAGUAAAUUUCAACCAUCUCUGUAUGGAAAAAUAUGUUUUACAAAUUUAAGAAAAAUGUAAUUUUGUUAUCUUUUACUCUAAUGACAUGCUGUGGUUCAUUUCAUUUUGCAAAUAAAAUUUUGUUCUUAGA
Molecule: long non-coding RNA, 3954 nt
Organism: Mercenaria mercenaria
Lineage: Eukaryota; Metazoa; Mollusca; Bivalvia; Venerida; Veneridae
Exons: 3
Source: RefSeq, a predicted model, not a curated record